AUUCUUCCACAAUGGACGGAAGUCUGAUGGAGCAACGCCGCGUGAUCGAAGAAGGUCUUCGUAUCGUAUAGCUCUGUUGUAAGGGAAGAACACGUACGCGAGUCACUGCCCGUACCCUGACGGUACCUUAUCAGAAAGCCACCGCUAACUACACGUCUGCAGCCGCGGGAAUACGUAGGUGGCAAGCGUUGUCCGGAAUUAUUGGGCGUAAAGCGCGCGCAGGCGGUCCUUUAAGUCUGAUGUGAAAGCCCACUGCUCAACCGUGGAGGGUCAUUGGAAACUGGAGGAAUUGAGUACAGAAGAGGAAAGCGGAAUUCCACGUGUAGCGGUGAAAUGCGUAGAGAUGUGGAGGAACACCAGUGGCGAAGGCGGCUUUCUGGUCUGUAACUGACGCUGAGGCGCGAAAGCGUGGGGAGCAAACAG
This 423-nucleotide ribosomal RNA is filed under the name uncultured bacterium. Its description in RNAcentral is "partial 16S ribosomal RNA". It matches the Rfam family "Bacterial small subunit ribosomal RNA", at positions 360 to 775 of the family's 1533-position model. The record is from RNAcentral.